This 53-nucleotide transfer RNA is filed under the name Rattus norvegicus (Norway rat). It matches the Rfam family "tRNA". Rfam says of the family: Transfer RNA (tRNA) molecules are approximately 80 nucleotides in length. Their secondary structure includes four short double-helical elements and three loops (D, anti-codon, and T loops). Lineage: Eukaryota; Metazoa; Chordata; Mammalia; Rodentia; Muridae. The record is from Rfam by way of RNAcentral.
GGGGAUUUAGCUCAGUGGUAGAGCACUUGCCUAGCAAGUGGGUUCAGUCCCCA